This 250-nucleotide ribosomal RNA is filed under the name uncultured bacterium. Its description in RNAcentral is "partial 16S ribosomal RNA". It matches the Rfam family "Bacterial small subunit ribosomal RNA", at positions 524 to 773 of the family's 1533-position model. The record is from RNAcentral.
UACGGAGGAUCCAAGCGUUAUCCGGAAUCAUUGGGUUUAAAGGGUCCGUAGGCGGUCUUAUAAGUCAGUGGUGAAAGCCCAUCGCUCAACGAUGGAACUGCCAUUGAUACUGUAAGACUUGAAUGCUUAGGAAGUAACUAGAAUAUGUAGUGUAGCGGUGAAAUGCUUAGAUAUUACAUGGAAUACCAAUUGCGAAGGCAGGUUACUACUAAGUGAUUGACGCUGAUGGACGAAAGCGUGGGGAGCGAAC